GCUUGUCUCAAAGAUUAAGCCAUGCAUGUGCAAGUACAUACCUUAUUAAGGUGAAACCGCGAAAAGCUCAUUAAAUCAGUUACGGUUCAUUGGAUAUUAAUUUUUUACAUGGAUAACUGUGGUAAAUCUAGAGCUAAUACGUGCACAAAAGCUUUGACCUUUUAGGAAAAAGCGCAUUUAUUAGACCAAGACCAAUGGUCCUUGUGACCUCAAACUUGGUGACUCUGAAUAACUGAGCUAAUCGCAUGGCCUAUGCGCCGGCGAUAUAUCCUUAAAGCGUCUGCCUUAUCAACUGUAGAUGGUAGGUUAUGUGCCUACCAUGGUUGUAACAGGUGACGGGGAAUCAGGGUUCGAUUCCGGAGAGGGAGCCUGAGAAACGGCUACCACAUCCAAGGAAGGCAGCAGG
This 406-nucleotide ribosomal RNA is filed under the name Demodex folliculorum. RNAcentral describes it as "partial small subunit ribosomal RNA". It matches the Rfam family "Eukaryotic small subunit ribosomal RNA", at positions 30 to 432 of the family's 1831-position model. The record is from RNAcentral. Lineage: Eukaryota; Metazoa; Arthropoda; Arachnida; Trombidiformes; Demodicidae.